Molecule: ribosomal RNA, 497 nt
Filed under: uncultured bacterium
Lineage: Bacteria
Description: partial 16S ribosomal RNA
Rfam family: Bacterial small subunit ribosomal RNA
Source: RNAcentral
GACGAACGCUGGCGGCGUGCCUAAUACAUGCAAGUUGAGCGCUGAAGGUUGGUACUUGUACCAACUGGAUGAGCAGCGAACGGGUGAGUAACGCGUGGGGAAUCUGCCUUUGAGCGGGGGACAACAUUUGGAAACGAAUGCUAAUACCGCAUAAAAACUUUAAACACAAGUUUCAAGUUUGAAAGAUGCAAUUGCAUCACUCGAAGAUGAUCCCGCGUUGUAUUAGCUAGUUGGUGAGGUAAAGGCUCACCAAGGCGAUGAUACAUAGCCGACCUGAGAGGGUGAUCGGCCACAUUGGGACUGAGACACGGCCCAAACUCCUACGGGAGGCAGCAGUAGGGAAUCUUCGGCAAUGGACGAAAGUCUGACCGAGCAACGCCGCGUGAGUGAAGAAGGUUGUCGGAUCGUAAAACUCUGUUGGUAGAGAAGAACGUUGGUGAGAGUGGAAAGCUCAUCAAGUGACGGUAACUACCCAGAAAGGGACGGCUAACUACGUG